This 352-nucleotide long non-coding RNA is filed under the name Bos taurus (domestic cattle). RNAcentral's name for it is "long non-coding RNA NONBTAT024040". Lineage: Eukaryota; Metazoa; Chordata; Mammalia; Artiodactyla; Bovidae. The record is from RNAcentral.
UUUAUGUUUUAGUCAAGGACUUCCCUAACUCGAGAAUGUAGCAUUGUAAAGUUGGAUUUGCCUACUUGUUGAAACACUGUCAUUGUUACCCUGAAAUAGAUGUUUCUUGAUUUCUCUUGAUGGUACCAGAACUCUGUGGCAAGUUAGGGACUGACUGGCUUAUAUGGAACAUCUGUAGCUCUGAAGAAAGAAACUAAUAGGGAAGUGAAUAGAAAGUAGAGAUCAGGGAAGGAAGAUUUGAAGGGGGCAGUGGUUAUACUGAUAGAAACAUACUGGGAGAGAGUUGGGACCCUCGAUCUAAGGUAUAAAGUGACAAGCAGUCCUGGAAAGCCCCUGGCAAAUUCCAUAUUAA